UAGAAGUCCUGAAACUCGGCUGAGCUGAAGGCUAUCCCAUUGUCUGAUACCAACCUGUCGGAGAGGCCACGUGAGGCAAAAACCCUGUGGAGAGCCCCUAACGCCACCUGGGAGGAUGUGGACACUACCGGUAUUACCUCCAGCCACUUAGAGUAGGAGUCUAUGAUAAGUUCAUCACUCGUAUGACUCCCCACAGCUCGCGCAGGUCCUGGGGCUUGCCGGUUCUGCUGCAUCUGGCUGUGGCUUUCACUGGCCCGCCUGAUGUAGCUUGAGGGCGUCGUCCCCAUCGGAGUCAUCUGACGUUGUGGAAGGUCGAAGCUGCAUGUUGUAUGGGCUCGCAAGGAUUAGCACAGUUGCCGCGAUGACAAGAUGCUGUCACCCAAAAAAACCUGUUGCAGUGCUAGUCUCCGAUCCUGACUCCAAGGGGAUCGUUCAGUCCUUGAAUACACAGACAUGACUAAACUUCACAUGCCUCCAGGAGAAGAAAGGAAGGAGACAGAUACUUAACCAUUUUAUUAUCUUGCCAAGAAUACCAAGUGGCAAAGAAGUUUUCAAGACUAUAUCAGUUCUAAGCAGCCAAAUGUGGGAACAGUUCCAGAAGUUCUUGAUAUGGCAGUUCUAAACAUUUAAAUGCUAAAACACAGCAGCAGCUUAUUUGUGAUUGAUGGUAACAACGUUCAGUUGUGAAUCCCUAAUCAGCUGCCCAAAGAGUGUGUCCAAACUGGAGCUAGUCCGGGAAAAUCCACCAAGCUAUUGUAGAAUACCGGAUGGCGGUUUGGGAGAGGGAUGAUGCAAGCAGGUAUAUUUUGUUUUUUUAAUAUUUAAUGCUGUUUUUAUUUGUUGUUAGCUGCCCUGAGCCCAUCGGGGAGGGCGGGAUAUAAAUUGUUUUUUUUUUAAA
Molecule: long non-coding RNA, 898 nt
Organism: Heteronotia binoei (common prickly gecko)
Lineage: Eukaryota; Metazoa; Chordata; Lepidosauria; Squamata; Gekkonidae
Exons: 3
Source: RefSeq, a predicted model, not a curated record